GAUGAACGCUGGCGGCGUGCCUAAUACAUGCAAGUCGAACGAGUUCUGGUUGAUGAUGGCGGUGCUUGCACCAAUAGAUUUAACAUUUGAACGAGUGGCGGACGGGUGAGUAACACGUGGGUAACCUGCCCUAAAGUGGGGGAUAACAUUUGGAAACAGAUGCUAAUACCGCAUAAAUCUUGGAACCUCAUGGUUCCAAGCUGAAAGAUGGCGUAAGCUAUCGCUUUUGGAUGGACCCGCGGCGUAUUAGCUAGUUGGUGAGGUAAAGGCUCACCAAGGCGAUGAUACGUAGCCGACCUGAGAGGGUGAUCGGCCACAUUGGGACUGAGACACGGCCCAAACUCCUACGGGAGGCAGCAGUAGGGAAUCUUCCACAAUGGACGAAAGUCUGAUGGAGCAACGCCGCGUGAGUGAAGAAGGUUUUCGGAUCGUAAAACUCUGUUGUUGGAGAAGAACGUACGUGAGAGUAACUGUUCACGUAGUGACGGUAUCCAACCAGAAAGCCACGGCUAACUACGUGCCAGCCGCCGCC
This 532-nucleotide ribosomal RNA is filed under the name uncultured bacterium. RNAcentral's name for it is "bacterial SSU rRNA". It matches the Rfam family "Bacterial small subunit ribosomal RNA", at positions 28 to 519 of the family's 1533-position model. The record is from RNAcentral.